This is a long non-coding RNA of Brachypodium distachyon (stiff brome), 324 nucleotides long. RefSeq lists it as uncharacterized. The transcript has 4 exons. NCBI's taxonomy places the organism in Eukaryota, Viridiplantae, Streptophyta, Magnoliopsida, Poales, Poaceae. The record is from RefSeq and is a predicted model, not a curated record.
AUGUUGAAUCAAAAUGAGGAUGAUGACGAGCAUGGUUUUUUUUUUGACGGGGCAAGAAGAUAGGCAUGUCGACCAGGCCCAGAGCCCAAAGGGUUAUUUAGCUGGACCCAUGCCACUCCAAAGAAUGCAAGCAGAUUGUUCGUCCCAAGAUACUUGCAAUACUAGCAGUCCUGUGCCACUCCAAGAAAUGCAAACAUAUUGUCCACCCCAAGAGGUUUCACAAAGUUCAGAUUGUUUGAGUUGGAGACCGCUACAAAUAAAUUUUCCCAAGACAACAUGAUUACACAAGAUAGCUUUGCUACAGUCUACAAGGUACUCCGUUGU